AAGGUAGCGAAAUUCCUUGUCGGGUAAGUUCCGACCUGCACGAAUGGUGUAACGAUCUGGGCACUGUCUCAACCACGAGCUCGGUGAAAUUGUAGUAUCGGUGAAGAUGCCGGUUACCCGCAAUGGGACGAAAAGACCCCGUGAACCUUUACUAUAGCUUGGCACUGAACAUUGACCCUACAUGUGUAGGAUAGGUGGGAGACUUUGAAGCAUUGUCGCUAGAUGAUGUGGAGUCUACCUUGAAAUACCACCCUUGUAGGUUUGAUGUUCUAACAUAGGUCCCUUAUCGGGAUUGUGGACAGUGUCUGGUGGGUAGUUUGACUGGGGCGGUCUCCUCCCAAAGCGUAACGGAGGAGCACGAAGGUUGGCUAAUCCUGGUCGGACAUCAGGAGGUUAGUGCAAUGGCAUAAGCCAGCUUAACUGCGAGACAGACACGUCGAGCAGGUACGAAAGUAGGUCAUAGUGAUCCGGUGGUUCUGUAUGGAAGGGCCAUCGCUCAACGGAUAAAAGGUACUCCGGGGAUAACAGGCUGAUACCGCCCAAGAGUUCAUAUCGACGGCGGUGUUUGGCACCUCGAUGUCGGCUCAUCACAUCCU
RNAcentral lists this ribosomal RNA (596 nucleotides) under Extubocellulus spinifer. RNAcentral describes it as "partial Bacterial large subunit ribosomal RNA". It matches the Rfam family "Bacterial large subunit ribosomal RNA", at positions 1953 to 2548 of the family's 2925-position model. The record is from RNAcentral. Lineage: Eukaryota; Bacillariophyta; Thalassiosirophyceae; Cymatosirales; Cymatosiraceae.